GGCUGUCCAUAUGCUUGUUGAGGUGGGUAACCAACCGAGGGAGGAAUGGGUUGAUCAAUGCGUGACAUCUGUUGAAAAGGAGGCACCGCCAUGACUGGUUGUGGCCCAAAUUUGCCAUCUCGUUUGUCCAUUUCAAUCUUGUGUUGUGUCUGCAUACAGGCACAAACCGUGCAAUACACCAUAUCAGCCAAACAUGAGAGUAAUUGAGAAGCCUCUUGAAUUUCCUCACUGCCAACAAUCAUUGCAACGAUUGAGAAUAUACAUGCAAUUUGUUGUAGACAGAACAUAAAACCAAUAAUGCAAUUAUCACAUUGCGUUGUUUGAAUGUUAAAUUCAUCUUGCAAUAGAAAGCGGGUAGAGGCCACUGAAUUUCC
RNAcentral lists this unclassified non-coding RNA (374 nucleotides) under Hevea brasiliensis (rubber tree). The record is from RNAcentral. Lineage: Eukaryota; Viridiplantae; Streptophyta; Magnoliopsida; Malpighiales; Euphorbiaceae.